This 997-nucleotide unclassified non-coding RNA is filed under the name Hevea brasiliensis (rubber tree). Lineage: Eukaryota; Viridiplantae; Streptophyta; Magnoliopsida; Malpighiales; Euphorbiaceae. The record is from RNAcentral.
AAGGAUAAAAAGGCAAAUGGACCAAGUUCUGAAAAAGGAGCCGGUCUUGUUUUUAAGAUAACAAGUAGGGUUCCAUAUAAGACUGUCUUGAAAGCGCACAGUGCUGUUGUGUUAAAAGCUGAGAGUGUUGCUGACAAGGUUGAAUGGAUAAACAAGCUGAGAAAUGUCAUUCAGACUAAAGGAGGUCAAGUUAUAGGCGAACCUGGUCCUACCAUGCGUCAAAGUCAUUCUGAUGGUUCACUUGAUACAAUGACUAGAAGACCUGCAGACCCUGAAGAAGAGCUCCGGUGGAUGUCUCAAGAAGUGCGUGGUUAUGUUGAAGCUGUUCUUAACAGCCUUGCUGCCAAUGUGCCCAAAGCAGUUGUCCUUUGUCAAGUCGAGAAAGCGAGGGAAGACAUGCUUAAUCAGCUUUAUAGUUCCAUUAGUGCACAAAGCACCGCAAGGAUUGAAGAACUGCUCCAGGAGGACCAGAAUGUAAAACGUAAGAGAGAACGUUAUCAGAAGCAGUCCUCUCUUCUUUCAAAACUUGUACGGCAACUUAGCAUCCAUGAUAAUCGAGCAGCAGCUGCGUCCAGCUGGGCCAAUGAUGGUGGUGGAGCAGAAAGUAGUCCAAGAACAAGCGGAUCUGCCGGAGGGGAGGAUUGGAGGACUGCAUUUGACGCUGCAGCUAAUGGUCGUGCUGAACCAUUUAGGUCUCACAGUCGACGAAACAGUGAUCCACCUCAAAAUGGUGAUGCAAGCUCAGGCACAAACAACAGUCGCCGCACACCCACUCGGAUGCCACCAGCACCACCACCAUCAGGCUCAUCCUAUAGAUAUUAGAUAAAAAGUUUGAUACCCAAUUUGAUUAUUCAUGCAUUCUUGUGGAUGGGAGCUAGCUCUCCUCCCACUCCAGGUGGAGAGCGUUUCUCAAGCUCACAUCCAUGUUAUAGUAGCUUUUGUAGAAGUGUAAUAGGUAUGUAGAUAUAUAUUGCAGUUACAUGUGGUUCAUUUUAAU